UACAGAGGGUGCGAGCGUUGUUCGGAAUUACUGGGCGUAAAGCGCGCGCAGGCGGCCCUUUAAGUCUACCCGUGAAAUGCCGGAGCUCAACUCCGUGCACGCCGGGGGAUACUGGAGGGCUGGAGACGAGUAGAGGCAAGCGGAAUUCCGGGUGUAGCGGUGGAAUGCGUAGAGAUCCGGAGGAACACCAGUGGCGAAGGCGGCUGCCUGGGCCUGGCCUGACGCUGAGGCGCGAAAGCGUGGGGAGCGAUCCGG
RNAcentral lists this ribosomal RNA (255 nucleotides) under uncultured bacterium. RNAcentral describes it as "partial 16S ribosomal RNA". It matches the Rfam family "Bacterial small subunit ribosomal RNA", at positions 524 to 776 of the family's 1533-position model. The record is from RNAcentral.